RNAcentral lists this ribosomal RNA (960 nucleotides) under marine metagenome. Its description in RNAcentral is "bacterial SSU rRNA". It matches the Rfam family "Bacterial small subunit ribosomal RNA", at positions 358 to 1342 of the family's 1533-position model. The record is from RNAcentral.
GGAAUUUUCCGCAAUGGGCGAAAGCCUGACGGAGCAAUACCGCGUGAGGGAUGAAGGAUUUUGGUCUGUAAACCUCUUUUCUCAAGAAAGAAGUUCUGACGGUACUUGAGGAAUAAGCAUCGGCUAACUCCGUGCCAGCAGCCGCGGUAAUACGGGGGAUGCAAGCGUUAUCCGGAAUCAUUGGGCGUAAAGCGCCUGUAGGUUGUUUAAUAAGUCUGUUGUUAAAGCCUAGGGCUUAACCCUAGAAAAGCAAUGGAAACUAUUAGACUAGAGUAUGGUAGGGGUAGAGGGAAUUUCUAGUGUAGCGGUGAAAUGCGUAGAUAUUAGAAAGAACACCGGUGGCGAAAGCGCUCUACUGGACCAUUACUGACACUCAGAGGCGAAAGCUAGGGUAGCAAAAGGGAUUAGAUACCCCUGUAGUCCUAGCCGUAAACGAUGGAUACUAGAUGUUGUGCAUUAAGGACAGUAUCGUAGCUAACGCGUUAAGUAUCCCGCCUGGGGAGUACGCUCGCAAGGGUGAAACUCAAAGGAAUUGACGGGGGCCCGCACAAGCGGUGGAGCAUGUGGUUUAAUUCGAUGCAACGCGAAGAACCUUACCAGGGCUUGACAUACUACGAAUCUUUUUGAGAAAAAAGAGUGCCUUCGGGAAUGUAGAUACAGGUGGUGCAUGGCUGUCGUCAGCUCGUGUCGUGAGAUGUUGGGUUAAGUCCCGCAACGAGCGCAACCCUUAUUUUUAGUUACCAAUUCGUUGGGUUCUCUAGAAAGACUGCCGGUGACAAACCGGAGGAAGGUGAGGAUGACGUCAAGUCAGCAUGCCCCUUAUGUCCUGGGCUACACACGUGCUACAAUGGCAGAGACAAAGCGUCGCUAGCUCGCGAGAGUAAGCUAAUCGCAUAAACUCUGCCUAAGUUCAGAUUGUAGGCUGCAACUCGCCUACAUGAAGUUGGAAUCGCUAGUAAU